This 299-nucleotide unclassified non-coding RNA is filed under the name plant metagenome. RNAcentral's name for it is "partial contains small subunit ribosomal RNA and internal transcribed spacer 1". The stretch from base 1 to 46 matches the Rfam family "Eukaryotic small subunit ribosomal RNA", at positions 1786 to 1831 of the family's 1831-position model. The record is from RNAcentral.
AUGUCGUAACAAGGUUUCCGUAGGUGAACCUGCGGAAGGAUCAUUAAAGAGUUGUCCUGCACCCCCUCUGGGGAUGAGGUCUACGGGUGAGGCGUCGGAGGUUAAACCCCCAGGGUCCCCCGGUCCUCUUCCACCCUUGUCGUAUACCUUCCACGUUGCUUUGGCGGGCCUGGGUACGUCCUUCUGGGCACCCUGCCGGCGUCGGACUUCGUCCCCGCCGGCGAGCGCCCGCCAGAGACCCUUUACCAUUCUGAUUCUUUUCAAUGUCGUCUGAGCAAAAAACACAAAAUAAAAUAAAA